RNAcentral lists this ribosomal RNA (513 nucleotides) under uncultured bacterium. RNAcentral's name for it is "bacterial SSU rRNA". It matches the Rfam family "Bacterial small subunit ribosomal RNA", at positions 32 to 520 of the family's 1533-position model. The record is from RNAcentral.
AAUCAACGCUGGCGGCGUGCCUCAGACAUGCAAGUCGAACGCGAAAUUCCGAGCAAUCGGGAAAGUAGAGUGGCGCACGGGUGAGUAACACGUAGGUAAUCUACCUUUGGAUGGGGAAUAACAACCGGAAACGGUUGCUAAUACCGCAUAAUGCAGCGGCACCUAAUGGUGACAGUUGUUAAAGCGGGGGAUCGAAAGACCUCGCGUCUAAAGAGGAGCCUGCGGCGGAUUAGCUAGUUGGUAAGGUAAUGGCCUACCAAGGCUACGAUCCGUAACCGGCCUGAGAGGGCGGUCGGUCACACUGACACUGACAUACGGGUCAGACUCCUACGGGAGGCAGCAGUCGGGAAUUUUGGGCAAUGGGCGAAAGCCUGACCCAGCAACGCCGCGUGAAGGAUGAAAUCCCUCGGGAUGUAAACUUCGCAAGAACGGGAAGAAUAAGCGAAAGUUAAUAUCUUUCGUGAUGACGGUUCCGUUUGUAAGCUCCGGCUAACUCCGUGCCAGCCGCCGCAG